RNAcentral lists this unclassified non-coding RNA (298 nucleotides) under Trechisporales sp. Its description in RNAcentral is "partial contains 5.8S ribosomal RNA, internal transcribed spacer 2, and large subunit ribosomal RNA". Lineage: Eukaryota; Fungi; Basidiomycota; Agaricomycetes; Trechisporales. The record is from RNAcentral.
CGCACCUUGCGCCCCUUGGUAUUCCGAGGGGCAUGCCUGUUUGAGUGUCUUGAAAUCAUCAAACCGAACCGGUCUUUGUUGCCGGCGCGGUUUGGACUUGGGGGCUCUGCUGCCGCGAGGCGGCUCCCCUUAAAUCGAUCGGUCGGGCUUUCGUGCGGCUCUGUCCCUUGGCGUUGUAUUACCCUCGUCGCUGGAUGGCUCGCGAUAAUGCGCCCUUCUUCGACCUGCCUCUGGAGUGGCGGUCUUCAACAUUUUGUGAUCUGACCUCAAAUCAGGUAGGACUACCCGCUGAACUUAA